Molecule: ribosomal RNA, 490 nt
Filed under: uncultured bacterium
Lineage: Bacteria
Description: partial 16S ribosomal RNA
Rfam family: Bacterial small subunit ribosomal RNA
Source: RNAcentral
AUUGAACGCUGGCGGCAGGCCUAACACAUGCAAGUCGAACGGUAACAGGAAACAGCUUUCUUUUUCGCUGACGAGUGGCGGACGGGUGAGUAAUGUCUGGGAAACUGCCUGAUGGAGGGGGAUAACUACUGGAAACGGUAGCUAAUACCGCAUAACGUCGCAAGACCAAAGAGGGGGACCUUCUGGCCUCUUGCCAUCUGAUGUGCCCAGAUGGGAUUAGCUAGUAGGUGGGGUAACGGCUCACCUAGGCGACGAUCCCUAGCUGGUCUGAGAGGAUGACCAGCCACACUGGAACUGAGACACGGUCCAGACUCCUACGGGAGGCAGCAGUGGGGAAUAUUGCACAAUGGGCGCAAGCCUGAUGCAGCCAUGCCGCGUGUAUGAAGAAGGCCUUCGGGUUGUAAAGUACUUUCAUCGGGGAGGAAGGGAGUAAAGUUAAUACCUUGACUCAUUGACGUUACCCGAAGAAGAAGCACCGGCUAACUCCGUG